UCACAUGCAAUGAAGAGGUUAAGUAGACAAAACAACAUCGUCAACAGAGAACGGCCCCAUGGCUGAAAGGGCAGUACGAUCGUUUUGUUGAAAUUUCGCCUCGGAGCUUCGUGUUUGAACGGGGGCUUUCCCCCAGUAGAAUGCGACGAAUGGCCAUCGUUAUCAGGCUGAGUCUCUUCAGACUAGUUGAGUCCGCCUUCCGUGAGGUAGGCGGAGAAGCUGAGUGGUACCGCGAACCUAUCGCCUCAGCG
This 251-nucleotide non-coding RNA is filed under the name Thermoactinomyces vulgaris. RNAcentral's name for it is "T-box sequence". It matches the Rfam family "T-box leader". Rfam says of the family: Uncharged tRNA acts as the effector for transcription antitermination of genes in the T-box leader family. T-boxes are found upstream of many aminoacyl-tRNA synthetase genes and some amino acid biosynthetic genes usually in Gram-positive bacteria. The record is from RNAcentral. Lineage: Bacteria; Bacillati; Bacillota; Bacilli; Caryophanales; Thermoactinomycetaceae.